RNAcentral lists this ribosomal RNA (253 nucleotides) under uncultured bacterium. RNAcentral describes it as "partial 16S ribosomal RNA". It matches the Rfam family "Bacterial small subunit ribosomal RNA", at positions 524 to 776 of the family's 1533-position model. The record is from RNAcentral.
CACGUAGGGCGCAAGCGUUGUCCGAAAUUAUUGGGCGUAAAGAGCUCGUAGGCGGUCUGUUGCGUCCGCUGUGAAAACUCGGGGCUUAACCCCGAGCCUGCAGUGGAUACGGGCAGACUAGAGGUAGGUAGGGGAGAAUGGAAUUCCCGGUGUAGCGGUGAAAUGCGCAGAUAUCGGGAGGAACACCGGUGGCGAAGGCGGUUCUCUGGGCCUUACCUGACGCUGAGGAGCGAAAGCGUGGGGAGCGAACAGG